AUCCAGCUGAUAAGUCCUAAAUAGGAUGAAAUGCGCAUCCUGGAU
RNAcentral lists this non-coding RNA (45 nucleotides) under Trichobilharzia regenti. Lineage: Eukaryota; Metazoa; Platyhelminthes; Trematoda; Strigeidida; Schistosomatidae. The record is from RNAcentral.